AGACAACCAGGAUGUUGGCUUAGAAGCAGCCAUGCAUUUAAAGAGUGCGUAACAGCUCACUGGUCAAGUGGACAUGCGCCGACAAUUCACGGGGCUCAAGCAUGAUACCGAAGCAGCGGACUGAUAUUUUUCAGUGGUAGGGGAGCUUUCUUAUCUGGGUCGAAGCUGUGUGGCAACGCAUGGUGGACUGGUAAGAAGUGAGAAUGCUGGCAUGAGUAACGAGAGUGAGGCGAGAAACCUCACCGCCGUAAGCCUAAGGGUUCCUGGGCAAGGCUAAUCCUCCCAGGGUCAGUCGGGAGCUAAGACGAGGCCGACAGGCGUAGUCGAUGCACAACAGGUUGAUAUUCCUGUACCACCACGAAUCGUUAUGACGAUGGGGUGACGGAGAAGGAUAGCUGGGCGGGGUUCUGGACGUCCCCGUGAAAGCGUGUAGGGUGCGCAUGCAGGUAAAUCCGCAAGCGCUUAUGCCUGAGACGUGAGACGAAGCUCUAAGUGAAGUCAGUGAUUCCCUGCUUCCAAGAAAAACCUCUAAGCAGAUAUCGUGGUGCCCGUACCAAAACCGACACAGGUAGGCGGGUAGAGUAUACCAAGGCGAUCGGGAGAACUAUGGUUAAGGAACUCGGCAUAAUGACUCCGUAACUUCGGGAGAAGGAGUGCCGCUCAUGGGUGAUAGGGCAUGCCCCUAAAAGCCUAGGGCGGUCGCAGUGAAACGGCCCAAGCGACUGUUUAUCAAAAACACAGGACUCUGCUAAGUCGCAAGACGAUGUAUAGGGUCUGACGCCUGCCCGGUGCUGGAAGGUUACGUGGAUGGGUUAGCCUUUCUAGGCGAAGCUCUGAAACUAAGCCCCAGUAAACGGCGGCCGUAACUAUAACGGUCCUAAGGUAGCGAAAUUCCUUGUCGGGUAAGUUCCGACCUGCACGAAUGGCGUAACGAUUUGGGCGCUGUCUCAACCAUAGACCCGGUGAAAUUGUAUUAUUCGUGAAGAUGCGAAUUACCCACGGAAGGACGGAAAGACCCCGUGAACCUUCACUACAGCUUGACAUUGAUCAUUGGUUCUGUGUGUAGAGGAUAGGUGGGAGACCGUGAAGCACGAGCGCCAGCUUG
RNAcentral lists this ribosomal RNA (1105 nucleotides) under human gut metagenome. Its description in RNAcentral is "bacterial LSU rRNA". It matches the Rfam family "Bacterial large subunit ribosomal RNA", at positions 1087 to 2178 of the family's 2925-position model. The record is from RNAcentral.